This 97-nucleotide ribosomal RNA is filed under the name uncultured bacterium. RNAcentral describes it as "partial 16S ribosomal RNA". It matches the Rfam family "Bacterial small subunit ribosomal RNA", at positions 1386 to 1482 of the family's 1533-position model. The record is from RNAcentral.
CACACCGCCCGUCACGCCAUGGAAGUUGGUUCUACCUGAAGCCGGUGCGCUAACCGCAAGGAUGCAGCCGACCACGGUAGGGUCAAUGACUGGGGCG